RNAcentral lists this unclassified non-coding RNA (347 nucleotides) under soil metagenome. RNAcentral describes it as "partial contains 5.8S ribosomal RNA, internal transcribed spacer 2, and large subunit ribosomal RNA". The stretch from base 1 to 120 matches the Rfam family "5.8S ribosomal RNA", at positions 35 to 154 of the family's 154-position model. The record is from RNAcentral.
GAUGAAGAACGUAGCGAAAUGCGAAAAGUAAUGUGAAUUGCAGAAUUCAGUGAACCAUCGAAUCUUUGAACGCACAUUGCGCCCGCUGGAACUCCGGCGGGCACGCCUGUCCGAGCGUCAUUUCAACCCUCAGGCCCCCCUUCGCGGGCGGGCCUGGUGUUGGGGCCCGGCCGCUACCCUGCGGCCGUCCCCUAAAUUCAGUGGCGGCCUCGCCGUGAUCCCUUGCGUAGUAAUGCACCUCGCACCGGAGAGCGCCGUGGCCACGCCGUAAAACCCCCAAUUUUCAAUGGUUGACCUCGGAUCAGGUGGGAAUACCCGCUGAACUUAAGCAUAUCAAUAAGCGGGGA